UACAGAGGUGGCAAGCGUUGUUCGGAAUUACUGGGCGUAAAGGGCGCGUAGGCGGCCAUCUAAGUCAGACGUGAAAUCCCCCGGCUUAACCUGGGAACUGCGUCUGAUACUGGAAGGCUCGAGUUCGGGAGAGGAAUGUGGAAUUCCAGGUGUAGCGGUGAAAUGCGUAGAUAUCUGGAGGAACACCGGUGGCGAAGGCGGCAUUCUGGACCGAAACUGACGCUGAGGCGCGAAAGCCAGGGGAGCAAACGGG
Molecule: ribosomal RNA, 253 nt
Filed under: uncultured bacterium
Lineage: Bacteria
Description: partial 16S ribosomal RNA
Rfam family: Bacterial small subunit ribosomal RNA
Source: RNAcentral